CAGGAAUAUAAACACUAACCAGGUAAUAACCAGGUAAAUAAACACUAACCAGGAAUAUAAACACUAACCAGGAAUAUAAACACUAACCAGGU
Silurus meridionalis is the source of this 92-nucleotide long non-coding RNA. RefSeq lists it as uncharacterized. The transcript is spliced from 3 exons. The record is from RefSeq and is a predicted model, not a curated record. NCBI's taxonomy places the organism in Eukaryota, Metazoa, Chordata, Actinopteri, Siluriformes, Siluridae.